GACAGUAUGCGUGAAAGCUGCGAGGCACUAAAUACCAAGCAGAAGACAGAUUCCACUCCACAGAUUUAGGCUUCAGCUUGUUUUGAGGCUGUGCAUCCUCACGAUCCCCGGCCCACAUCAUCAACAAGUGAUCAGAUUCAAAGUUGAAGAUCCACCUUCACACUCAUCCAUUGCAUGUUUGACACCAACCUUCUUUUAAAUCUCUUUUUGAAUUAAACUGCCUUCGCUCUUCGUUCCUGG
Micropterus salmoides (largemouth bass) is the source of this 240-nucleotide long non-coding RNA. RefSeq lists it as uncharacterized. The transcript has 3 exons. The record is from RefSeq and is a predicted model, not a curated record. Lineage: Eukaryota; Metazoa; Chordata; Actinopteri; Centrarchiformes; Centrarchidae.